Molecule: non-coding RNA, 3021 nt
Organism: Paragonimus heterotremus
Lineage: Eukaryota; Metazoa; Platyhelminthes; Trematoda; Plagiorchiida; Troglotrematidae
Source: the annotation of a GenBank genome assembly
AUAAGCUGGACCUGGUUGGAUUGCACGGUAAUUCCAUAAUAGUGAUGGAUGUCUCGAUUGUGAACACUCGGCGGAUGGCAGAAAGCUGGCAUUUGAAGAUUGAUAUGUACAAUAAGCCCGCCAUCAAUGAGACGAUAAUGAAAGUAUGCUCCAAUUCCAGUCUGGACGGUUCGGUGGAUAAGCACAUUCCUACUGUCAUCUCGGAUAGAGGAAUGUUGUACCACAAAUCAGGGGCUGGGCUUAGGAAAGCUGGGUUCAAAGAGCGAGAUCUGUCAGAUAUUUGGCUGCUGACCGUCACCGGUUCAUUGAAAUGCUACGACACCUAUAUGCACCUCACUUAAUUGACGUGAAGAUUGAAAGAAAUGGCAUCUUCCUAACUUAUCUUCAUGUUUUCAUCUCCUGUUUCGUCCAUUUCCCUAUUCAUCAGAUGGACCGGUGCGACGAGUGAUGCGUAAACCGAAAGGGGUCAUCAAUCCGAUAAUCACAGUUCAGCAAUCGCAGCAGCAUUCAAUCGCCUUCGAAGCGAAUCCGGGGGAUUGAACUGAAGAAAGCCCUCAUGUUGAAAUAAAAGUUUCCUUUUUCUUGUUUGGCAUGUCUUAAGGGAAGAGAUGGUCCUACUGGGGCCAAAAUAAGGUUCGGUCGGUGGCAGGCCGAUCGGUAUGGAAUGUCGUCUUAGUCCAUUUUGGAUGUUUGAAAUCGUAAUGUGAUCUUGUUUUGCAUGUUUAUUGGGAGCUGACUACUGUCGCGGUUUCGGAAGGCACAUACCACAGGUUGACCAAAAUGGUCGAUUGGCUUGACUGGGCAAGCCGAAAUCAAACGAAUCCCGCGAAUGAAGGCAAUCGAAGGCAGUCAUGCAAAAUCCUUCAAGCUGCAUGGGCUGUGACAUGCGUGAGAAGGGCAGGCAUAGGGUUAUCGUUCUCUAGUGCACUGUUGUGUACACGAGGGAGGUGGUUCUGGUGAUCCCUCAGACAUUACGGACUGCCGUGUACGGAACAGUCACAGUGAUCAAGUUCGGCCAACUGAUCGUGAAAUAUAGGUCAAAGCUGCGCCGUUUGCACACGCCCAAUGAAGUACUGUCAAGCACAGCAAGAGGUAGCACUUACUUUGCCUGUGAUUGCCAAGAUUCUACCUUGCCGGUAUACAAUUCAUUGGAUGAGGGCAUAGGUUCCCUCCUGAGCAUGCUGGCUGCCAUUGGUGUCGUCGUUCACUGGCUGUUGGUGUUGGAUGGCGUUUGUGGCCAAGUUGGUAUGGACGCGCUCAUGAUACGGGCUGACAAGUUACAAUGUUCGCUCUGAUGUGAGCAAGUGUAUAUAUUUUGAGUAAGUGUAGGCAAAUUGUUAAGCCGGCUGGCUUGUCCUUUGCGUUGAACGGGUUGUACUGAUGCCCGGUUCGAUUGUGUUUCUUACGGUAAAUCCCUCGCAGCAAUGGGCUGCCUGCGGUUGAGCAAACUGCUUCUGCCAAUAAAAAUGGUGUAAGUGGUCUACAUAGUUAUCGGACGGCUAUAUGGAUGUGCCGCGAGUGUUCAUUCUUUACAUGUGGUCGCUUUCACUAUUACUGGUGUCAGAUCAGUGAAUGUACUGGGGGCAAAUGUCCGAUCAACUCACGAUGGUAGAUGAACUGCCUACCAUGGUGAUAACGAAUAACGGGGAAUUAGGGUUGGAUUCCGGAGAGGGAGCCUGAGAAACGGCUACCACUUUCAAGGAAGGCAGCAGGCAUGCAAAUUACCCAAUCCCGACACGGGGAGGUAAUGACGAAAAAUACGGAUACGGGAUUCAACAGAGUCGAAUGAGUACAAUUGAAAUCCUUUAACGAGGACCAACUGGAGGGCAAGUCUGGUACCAGCAGCCGCGGUAACUCCAGCUCCAGAAGUGUAUAUUAAAGUUGUUACAGUUAGAAAGCUCGUAUUUGGAACUGGGUUUCACGACUACGUGCUGUCACUUACUUUCUCAGUUGGCUGUUAAGGCCCUGGGUUUGGUGGGUCGGUGUUGUGGUUGUGUGGUCUUUCUGCUGUAUCUGUUUUGCAGGUGUUGACUAGGCCUUCGGGUUUGUCGGCAUGGUUCCAGAUGCCUUUAAACGGGUAUAGAGGGCGGUUAGCAUAUCUACUUUGAACAAAUUUGAGUGCUCAAAGCAGGCCCUUGUGCCUGAAAAUUCUUGCAUGGAAUAAUGGAAUAAAAAUUCGGUUCUAUUUCGUUGGUUUUUGGAUCCGAAGUAAUGGUUAAGAGGGACAGACGGGGCAUUUGUAUGGCGAUGUUGGAGGUGAAAUUAUUGGAUCGUUGCCAGACAAACUACGGCGAAAGCAUUCGCCAAGGAUGUUUUCAUUAAUCUGGAGCGAAAUUCAGAGGUUCGAAGACGAUCAGAUACCGUCCUAGUUCUGACCAUAAACGAUGCCAACUGACGAUCCGUGGUGGUUCUUUUAUUGUCCUCGCGGGCAGUCCGCGGGUAACCUCUAAGUCCUUGGGCUUUGGGGGAAGUAUGGUUGCAAAGCUGAAACUUAAAGGAAUUGACGGAUGGGGACAACCAGGAGUGGAUUCUGCGGCUUAGUUUGACUCAACACAGAAAAAUUCACCCGGCCCGUACACUGUGAGGAUUGACAGACUGAAAGCUCUUUCUUGAUUUGGUGGUUGGUGGUGCAUGGCCGUUCUUAGUUGGUGGAGCGAUUUGUCUGGUUAAUUCGGAUAACGAACGAGACUUUGGCCUGCUAACUAGUAUGCCUGUCCUCUGGUUCAGCCCUGACCACAGAGCUAAUGGUAUCCGUUAAAUCCGCCAAUUACUGCCAGAGGUGUACUGUUCCACUGACGGGUCAACAUCACCGUCACGUAGAGAUACAAACAAAACAAGGCAUUAGCAUAUAAACAGGUAAAUUUCAGAUUGACGAUGAUUGGUAAUACUUGUAGUCCAGCAGGUGGAUGUUGCUGAUCUUCCGUUGAUAAGAAACUUGCGUUUAUUAUUCCCCCUUCCGAAGGAGACCAUCACGACCAAAGUUAUCCUGAGAAAGCUCAGUCAGCUGUCGCUCAAUCGUGU